This 664-nucleotide ribosomal RNA is filed under the name uncultured fungus. Its description in RNAcentral is "eukaryotic LSU rRNA". It matches the Rfam family "Eukaryotic large subunit ribosomal RNA", at positions 24 to 664 of the family's 3401-position model. Lineage: Eukaryota; Fungi. The record is from RNAcentral.
CCCGCUGAACUUAAGCAUAUCAAUAAGCGGAGGAAAAGAAACUAACAAGGAUUCCCCUAGUAACUGCGAGUGAAGCGGGAAAAGCUCAAAUUUAAAAUCUGGUGGCCUUUGGCCAUCCGAGUUGUAAUUUAGAGAAGCGUCUUCCGCGCUGGACCGUGCACAAGUCUCCUGGAAUGGAGCGUCGUAGAGGGUGAGAAUCCCGUCUUUGGCACGGACGCCCAGUGCUUCUGUGAUGCGCUCUCGAAGAGUCGAGUUGUUUGGGAAUGCAGCUCAAAAUGGGUGGUGAACUCCAUCUAAAGCUAAAUAUUGGCGAGAGACCGAUAGCGAACAAGUACCGUGAGGGAAAGAUGAAAAGCACUUUGGAAAGAGAGUGAAACAGUACGUGAAAUUGUUGAAAGGGAAACGCUUGAAGUCAGUCGCGUCGUCCGAGACUCAGCCUCGCCUCGGCUUGGUGUACUUCUCGGACGACGGGUCAGCAUCAAUUUUGCCCCUUGGAUAAUGGCGAGGGAAAUGUGACACCUUUGCGGGUGUGUUAUAGUCUCUAGUCGCAUGCAAGGGUCGGGAUUGAGGAACUCAGCACGCGCCUUCGGGCGUCGGGGUUCGCCCACGAUACGUGCUUAGGAUGUUGGCGUAAUGGCUUUAAACGACCCGUCUUGAAACACGG